UGGGCCGCUGGCUCCGCGUCGCCUGGGACGGCCUCCGCUUCGAGGUGGCCCUCAGGCUGGAGAGCCUCUCGGCGCGGCUGACGGCGACGCUGCUGCGGCUGCUGGU
This is a long non-coding RNA of Nothoprocta perdicaria, 106 nucleotides long. RefSeq lists it as uncharacterized. Lineage: Eukaryota; Metazoa; Chordata; Aves; Tinamiformes; Tinamidae. The transcript is spliced from 2 exons. The record is from RefSeq and is a predicted model, not a curated record.